Molecule: long non-coding RNA, 907 nt
Filed under: Glycine max (soybean)
Lineage: Eukaryota; Viridiplantae; Streptophyta; Magnoliopsida; Fabales; Fabaceae
Description: long non-coding RNA (GMAX_LNC001095)
Source: RNAcentral
UUUUGGACAUAGUUCUCUGCAAGAAAGCAAAAGCUCCACAUGAUUUUGGCACUGUGGACUUCGAUAAAAGUGAUGAUGCAAGACAUUUUCCAAAAUGCUUAACCCUAUACUUUGUUUAAGUAUUACGAUUACAAAUUUAUUGUUAUCACUGAUUAAACAUUUCUGUAGGCACUAGAAAAUUGAUGAGAACUUGUAUGUUUAAGUGUAAGGUCUUGGCUAAUGUUGAUAUGUAGCAUGGAAAAAACAGGGCUGUAGUGUUUUGCGUCUUUUUAGCUGCAGGCUUGUAAUGUUUUGAUGAAAAAUAUUAUGUGGUUCACCAAAAUAAGAAAAGGGGGGAACUCGCCUAAUAAGAAUGGCCCCAUGCAUAAAACCGAAGCAAAGAACUUACCUGCCAUUCAAUUUUAUGAAUAUAAUGAUUACAAAUCCCCUUUACAAUUCAUCUUUAGAAAGUUGGUUUUGGGUCCCGACCCAAAACCAACUUUCUAAACUUUGGGUUGAUUAUUUAAUGAGGAAUGAAAUGAUUAUCGGUGAGGGUGGAGAUACUUCAUACUAAUACAUGUCUGUAUCAGGCAAAACAGUUGUGCGCAUGGUUGACAAAACAUAACUUUUCUAGUGCCAAAAUUAUAGUAUGGCUUUUCUAAGUGAUCUUACCUGAUUUAGGUGAUAUAUACUUUUUAUAUUUUGCAGGCUUGCCAAGGGAAAAGGAAUUGCUCCAUCAAAAUAUCAGACUCUGUAUUCGGUGGUGAGUGGGUGACCCCUGUUGUCUGUGGAGGCAUGAUGCACAACACCAUUGAGUGAUGGUUUCUUUCAAGAGGCUGUAAGCAGCUUCUAAAACGAGGUUCGGUGUGAACCUUGUGAACACUAGUCAACCAACUGGACAAUGUUACUGACCAGAAAUGGCCCUUAA